Molecule: ribosomal RNA, 500 nt
Filed under: uncultured bacterium
Lineage: Bacteria
Description: partial 16S ribosomal RNA
Rfam family: Bacterial small subunit ribosomal RNA
Source: RNAcentral
AUUGAACGCUGGCGGAAUGCUUUACACAUGCAAGUCGAACGGCAGCACGGACUUCGGUCUGGUGGCGAGUGGCGAACGGGUGAGUAAUGUAUCGGAACGUGCCCAGUCGUGGGGGAUAACGUAGUGAAAAUUACGCUAAUACCGCAUACGAUCUAUGGAUGAAAGCGGGGGAUCGCAAGACCUCGCGCGAUUGGAGCGGCCGAUAUCAGAUUAGGUAGUUGGUGGGGUAAAGGCCCACCAAGCCAACGAUCUGUAGCUGGUCUGAGAGGACGACCAGCCACACUGGAACUGAGACACGGUCCAGACUCCGACGGGAGGCAGCAGUAGGGAAUUUUGGACAAUGGGCGAAAGCCUGAUCCAGCCAUGCCGCGUGCAGGAUGAAGGCCCUCGGGUUGUAAACUGCUUUUGUACAGAACGAAAAGGUUUCUACUAAUACUAGGAGCUCAUGACGGUACUGUAAGAAUAAGCACCGGCUAACUACGUGCCAGCCGCCGCCGUAA